Molecule: small nucleolar RNA, 65 nt
Filed under: Leptobrachium leishanense (Leishan spiny toad)
Lineage: Eukaryota; Metazoa; Chordata; Amphibia; Anura; Megophryidae
Description: Small nucleolar RNA U54 (ENSLLEG00000007096.1)
Rfam family: Small nucleolar RNA U54
Source: Rfam by way of RNAcentral
UGGCAAUGAGGAUGAUAUCUCCAAUGAGUCACAGUGAUUGCUUUAUACGCUAUUCUGAGCCGACU